This 253-nucleotide ribosomal RNA is filed under the name uncultured bacterium. RNAcentral describes it as "partial 16S ribosomal RNA". It matches the Rfam family "Bacterial small subunit ribosomal RNA", at positions 524 to 776 of the family's 1533-position model. The record is from RNAcentral.
UACGGGGGGGGCAAGCGUUGUUCGGAAUUACUGGGCGUAAUGGGCUCGUAGGCGGCCAACUAAGUCAGACGUGAAAUCCCUCGGCUUAACCGGGGAACUGCGUCUGAUACUGGAUGGCUUGAGUUUGGGAGAGGGAUGCGGAAUUCCAGGUGUAGCGGUGAAAUGCGUAGAUAUCUGGAGGAACACCGGUGGCGAAGGCGGCAUCCUGGACCGAUACUGACGCUGAGGAGCGAAAGCCAGGGGAGCAAACGGG